Molecule: non-coding RNA, 228 nt
Organism: Pelobates cultripes (western spadefoot toad)
Lineage: Eukaryota; Metazoa; Chordata; Amphibia; Anura; Pelobatidae
Source: the annotation of a GenBank genome assembly
UACGAUACAGCCUCUGGAAUAGGCUGAAUGUAUGGUUUAUGAAUGAAUUCUCCUGGACACAUUUAACGUAGGUUUAAGACUGGAAAAGAAUAAAUAAUAAAUUUAAAGUAAUAAAAAUAGAGAUAUUAAGAAACACAAAAGGGUGAUUAGAAAGGGAAAAAGGAUAAUUAACAAUCACGUUUUAAUAUAAAAUUCACAUAAAAAUGUUAUCAUAUUUAUGGUAUAACU